GGUGUGGGCAGGAGGAGGAAGAAAGGAAGGAGAAAGGGGAUGGCACAGAGCGAGUUGGAGGCUGAGCAGCCACCCAGCCGCAGGACCAAGUUGUGCCCAGAGACUCCAAUCAGGUUCCUGUUGUGAGCAUCCCUUACAUAGAGCCUGAAUGUUAAAACAGCUGGAGAUUGGGCCACUGCGGAUAUGGACAUCUGGAUGCCAUGAAGAAAUGCUUCUGAAAUUUGUGGUAACCUGUUUUGUGGUCCUCCACAAUUUCUUCCUGAAACACUCUUACAACAGUACUUGAAAUCUUAC
Long non-coding RNA from Mauremys reevesii (Reeves's turtle), 294 nucleotides. RefSeq lists it as uncharacterized. Lineage: Eukaryota; Metazoa; Chordata; Testudines; Geoemydidae. The transcript has 3 exons. The record is from RefSeq and is a predicted model, not a curated record.